Molecule: long non-coding RNA, 1325 nt
Filed under: Heterocephalus glaber (naked mole-rat)
Lineage: Eukaryota; Metazoa; Chordata; Mammalia; Rodentia; Bathyergidae
Description: lncRNA (ENSHGLG00000050782.1)
Source: RNAcentral
ACCCAGAGCAGCACUGAUCAGACCCAAAGUGCAGCUUCUUCUCAGUCUCAUUUUUCUACCUUUCCUGUAAUUUGCCGUGUACUGCCAUGGCUCGCAGGAGACUAGGAUUUAACUGCAGAGGUUCUAGUAACUUCCCCUUCCCCUGUUCCCUACAAGGUGAUACUUGUUUCCAGGAGUAAAUUCGGGAGCAAUGCUUCCCUUUCAAUUUCGUUGAAGAGUUUAAACAGUAGUGUCAGUAGUUCCUCUCUAAAUGUCUUGUAGAAUUCAGCGGUGAAGUCAUCAUGAACUGGGCUUUUCUUAGUUGACUUGUCCCAUCCAUUUUUCACUUGGAAUCCUAUAGUGCUUCUCAAUUGCUUUCAAGAUAAGUUUCAAUCUCAUUAAGAUGGCUUACGAGGCUUUUCAUAAUCUGGUCCAUUGCAUUUGCCCAGCUGCAUCUGCCAAUGUACUCUAACUUUGGCCAUACUGAAUAACUUGUGUUGCUUCUUCAUACAGCUGGGCUGGCAAUAGUGGUCCCUUUGCUGGAAAGUGUUUUUGCAAAAAGUUCACUCCAGAAACCCUGCCUGGUGUUUCUGCUCUAGACCACUGUUUCCUGAACUUUAGUGUAACAGAAUCACCUAGAGGCUUUGCAAAAACACCUAUGCCAGGCUCCACCCUAUAGUUGCUGUUUUGGUUGUUUGAAGUGGAACUAAGAACUUACAUUUUCAAUACGUCCCCAGGUAACACUUAUGCUACUGGUUCAGGGCAGCAUUUUGAGAAACCCAGCUCUGGAGGAAACAUCUGCACUUUUCUCUAGUAUAGCAUUUUACAUAGCUCACACAGAAGUCAUUUACUGGUUUCUCUCUCUCCCUCUAUCAGUGUAUAUUCAUCAGAAGAUAGAGGCAGUGUGUCAUCCAUCCUGAUGACACAGCACUUGGCACUGUACCUGGCACACAGUAGUUACUAUAUGAAUGGAAGGAAGGGAAAAUGGGGGAAAAAACCCACUUUGAACAAAGAUUGGGUGACAGAGAAAACUAGGUAUAGAGGUCUUCAGAAUACUUUCCUAGACUAAAUUUCUACAGUAUUGAUAUAAACUACUAUUAUCUCACAAAUUAGUGUAUUAUACUAAAUACAGUAGAGCCAGUGCAGUGUAGUGUCUACAAGUGUGAGCUCUAGCAUCAUAUAUUUUGGUUUUGAGUCUUGUUUUUACUAUGCAAUGUUAGGCAUAUUACUUAAUAUCUCUCUAAAAUUGCUUUUACAUUUAUAAAAUGAGAAUUCUAAAAAUGCUACAUAAUAGUUUCUUCAUGCUUAACUGAGGUGAUAUAUAUGAGUUGAUUUUUAUAAUCCCU